CCUACGAGGGGCAGCAGUGAGGAAUAUUGGUCAAUGGACGCAAGUCUGAACCAGCCAUGCAGCGUGCAGGAAGACGGCUCGAUGAGUUGUAAACUGCUUUUGUACGAGGGUAAACGCAGAUACGCGUAUAUGUCUGAAAGUAUCGUACGAAUAAGGAUCGGCGAACUCCGUGCCAGCAGCCGCGGUAAUACGGAGGAUUCAAGCGUUAUCCGGAUUUAUUGGGGUUAACGGGUGCGUAGGCGGUCGGAGAAGUUCGAGGGGAAAUCCCGAGGCUCAACUUCGGAAUUGCCUCUGAGACUGUUCGGCUAGUGCUUAGUUGCGGUAUGCGUAAUGUAUGUUGUCGCGGU
This 347-nucleotide ribosomal RNA is filed under the name uncultured bacterium. Its description in RNAcentral is "partial 16S ribosomal RNA". It matches the Rfam family "Bacterial small subunit ribosomal RNA", at positions 338 to 682 of the family's 1533-position model. The record is from RNAcentral.